Ipomoea triloba (trilobed morning glory) is the source of this 1598-nucleotide long non-coding RNA. RefSeq lists it as uncharacterized. The transcript has 5 exons. Lineage: Eukaryota; Viridiplantae; Streptophyta; Magnoliopsida; Solanales; Convolvulaceae. The record is from RefSeq and is a predicted model, not a curated record.
GUCGCCAGUCGUCACUACCGCGCCCUCCUUCGCCAGUUUGUCGCCACCCCAUUCUCCAUUGGAGUAGAGGAGGGUCGCCGGUCACCCUCCGUCGCCGCCGGUCUUCACCCCAGCGUCUGCCUCAGCCUCCGCCCCACGUUUGCCUGCAAUUUUCUAUCCCCUCUUUAAGAUAAAAAUCAUGUUUCAACUACUUCCGGUCAAAUGGUAUCCUUCUUGGUUCUAUAUUUGAUAGAAGCCUAUCCAAAGAUGUUUACUAUGGGUUAAUAAUAAAAGUUGUUGCAAUAUCAUGGGUUAAUAAUCAGAACUUUAGCCUCCUUCAAGAGUUUUACCAGACUACACUGAAUGCCCUUUUGAAUUGAAAUUAUCAGUAGAUAGAGAGGAGACAAUCCAUCUACAUCAUCAUUAAGACUAGCUGCAGACCUGCCAAAGGCUGAUAAGGUCCUUAUCAUUGAAAGGGUCAUUGAAUCACUUUGCAGCACUUCUACCUGCAGUAGAUUUGUCCAUGUCCCACAAGUACAAAACUGAUGACUGUUAGGCAACAAAUGAUGGCAUGCCAUUGCUGUUGGAAUUAACAGUGAUGCUGCUGAUAUUGGCAGUGAAGUUGGGGAAAGCCUGGUUGAAGAAAGAACAUGAUGCGCAAAUAAUUGCAAGAGAAGAAGAUCUGGGUGCAUCAUUGGAGGAUGAAGUAGUGGCAGUACAGGAAUAAGUGAAGCAGAUAAAGGCAUAGGAGGAAGAAUUUGAAACCUUUGAUCUCAAAACUGUGCACAGGAAAAACAGGUUUUGGAUCCCUUGGGUUGAUGACAUCUGUCCUGGUAUGCUUCACUUUAAAUACUUUUUUGUGAAUGUGUUGUUUUGCUUGUCCUAUUGUAUGAUGCAUUUUUUUGUCAUCCCACAUCUCAAUUUAAAUUAGCAAUCAAUUUUAGGUCUUUGUAUUUUAAUGGUAAUCUUAAUCUUGAGCCUAACUGCUUGAGAGGUGUAUGUAUUUGGUCCUAAGAUCUAAAUCGAAGGAGGUAAAUUCUCAAUUCAAUAUUUACCCAAGCUAUAAUUAUUGAACUUGUUAAUUUCCUUGUAAUCUUGUUUCCUUUCAAUACUCUCCAAGGUUAGGGGGUUUUAUAUGUGGUAGUGUAAUGAUUAAUACCUUUCCUGAAAACAGUUAUGCUUGUUAUGUGAUGUAUUUAGUUUCUUGGUGAUAUUCUAUGCUUUGAAUUUCAUUUGUUUUUUAUUGGUUGCAGCAAGGUGGUAAGGCUUUCAAUUGCACAAGCUUUGACUAUAUACUCUUUGUUAGCCUCCAUGUAAUGUCAUUUUCUUUGAUCUGAGAGCAAUGUUUUGGUGCAGUAGUGGCAUAAGGCUUGUACAAGUGCAGUAGUGCAUUGUUUCUGUGAAGUUCAGAUCAGUGAUUAUUUGUGAUGAGUAGUGCAAUGUGUUUCGGACGCAGAUUAUUCCCAACUCCGGAUGCAAAUGAUUUAUAUAUUGAUUGAGUUUACUUUAGAUAUUGUACUAGUGUACGGUUAUUUGUUAUAAUUAGUUUCUUUGUCUUUAGUCUUUACAAAGUUGUAUGAAACAUUUCACUUUGUUAAUGAUGAUGAAGUCUUUUAAUA